Molecule: long non-coding RNA, 987 nt
Organism: Homo sapiens (human)
Lineage: Eukaryota; Metazoa; Chordata; Mammalia; Primates; Hominidae
Exons: 2
Source: RefSeq, a predicted model, not a curated record
CAUCAGUGGGGAAAGUCACAAUGGAGGGCCUGGGAUUCUGGAGUAAGUUCAUGUCAUCCACAGCAGAAAUAUAUGCCCCCUUCUCGAAGCAACUUUUAGUGUUGCUGGCCCUGAUCAGAUAGAAUUCUUGACCACAGGACACUGAGAACCACGUAAUUCCAAGUGGUUGUAUGAAUUGGCUUCUGUGUGACCUACAGAGUUAUAGAUUGGACAGGCCCAACAGUGUCCAUCAUGAGAUGGAAAUGGUCCAUGUGGAAUGAGCCCAAACCCCAAGUUAACACCCCAUCUGCCCAGAAAAUACCUGCCCCUGAGGUGGCACUGAACAACCAAGCAGACAAAUGGAAGUUAGCCAGCCUUCACUGGGGGCCAUCUCAGGCCUUGCAGGGUGGGAACAUGCAUGCAGGAAUCACAAUAGCUCCCUUCAUGUGCCCAUCCUUCCAGGUCACUCAGUGGCCUUGGUCGGUGGGAGUCAGUGCUGCUGGACCCAUAGGUAGCCUCCAAAAGCAAAGAGAUUCACAGUGUGAGCGAGAUUCAACGUGAGGGGCUUCCUCCGCUGUGAGCUUUGAAAAUGAAGGGGCCAUGUGGCAAAGGAUAUGGCGGGCUCCAGGAAUUGAGAGCAGCUCCACCCCACCUCCACCUGACAGCUGCCCAGGAACAAGGACUACAAUCUCACAACUGCCUGAAACUGAAUUCUGCCACCAAGCUCUGUAUAAGCUUGAAGGAGGACCCCAGCCUCAAGAUGAGGACACAGCUUCGUGAAAUCCUGAACUGAGAAUCAUUCACACCAGGCCUGGAUUUCUCAUUAAGGAAAUGUAGAGAAAUAAAUGGGUGCUGUGUAGAGCCAGUGAGUUAGUGGUAAUAUGUUAUGCAGUAACAGAAAAUUCAUACAUAGGCCAACAGAUAAGCAUAUAACAUUUUCUCUAUUGGAAUAAACUAGUGAAUUGAAAUGUACACUCCUUGUAUAAGAUAAAAUCUUUCCUAAUUUUU